RNAcentral lists this long non-coding RNA (315 nucleotides) under Mytilus galloprovincialis (Mediterranean mussel). The record is from RNAcentral. Lineage: Eukaryota; Metazoa; Mollusca; Bivalvia; Mytilida; Mytilidae.
GAUAGAUCUUGACCUGAUAAACAAUUUUACCCAUGUCAGAUUUGCUCUAAAUGCUUUGGUUUUUGAGUUAUAAGCCAAAAACUGCAUUUUACCCCUAUGUUCUAUUUUUAGCCAUGGCGUCCAUCUUGGUUGGUUGGCCUGGUCACCGGACACAUUUUUUAAACUAGAUACCCCAAUGAUGAUUGUGGCCAAGUUUGGUAAAAUUUGGCCCAGUAGUUUCAGAGGAGAAGAUUUUUGUAAAAGUUAACGACGAUGGACGCCAAGUGAUGAGAAAAGCUCACUUGGCCCUGUGGGCCAGGUGAGCUAAUAAAAAUG